AUUCAUCUUCCUGGAUUCCCAGCCGUUUUUUUCUCAAGUUUUCAUUCUUCAACACCUCCUACCUAAUUAGGGAGAUAAUAAUGGUGGCAUAGAACACAGACCUCAUCCAGGUUAUGGUCAUGGUCAUGAUGUUGCUUCAGUCAUGGUCACGGCUGAUAAAAGUAUAUUAUCAGUUUUUUUUUAUGCUGCCUUAGUAUCUCAGUUAAUAUUUUAAAAAUAAAAAGUACGUCUAUAAAUAUAAAGGAUAUACUCCUUUUUAGAAGAUUAUUUAUGGAUUGGGCUUGAAUUUAUGAACCUUUAUAAAUAUUUUAUAAAUGAUUUUAAACAUUUUUAAAUGAUUUAUAAUGUCAGUUUUAGUUUUUCAGAAAUUUAAAGUAUUUAUGAAAAUAAUUAUAUCUUAAAGAUAAAUUUAAAUAAUGAUAUCAAAUUUGGGGUAAAAGCUAAAAUUAAAAUUCUCUCAGAAAUCAUAACAUACAUUUGUUUCUCCAAAAAUUCUAAAAAAGGAUGUUCAUGUCUAAUUGCAGCUUCUAAUGUUUUUUCCUUCCAUAUAUUUAAAUUUAUUUUUUUCAAAAGAAAUUUUGGUUCAUACACUAUUAUGCGUUGUAUUUAAUUAGAAAACAGUUUAUCCAUAAUUGUGUUUCAAUUUACAGAAGUCCAAAGCCACAUAAGACUUAUUUACUAUAAUGUUAUCAAAAUUAUAUUAGAACAAAUUUACAAAAACAACAUCUAUACAUUCUAAGAAGAGUUUUUUUUUGUUUAUCCUAGAGGGCGUGGGUUCACCAGCUAAUUAUCUGUCAUAUCAUAUUUAUUUAUUUUUAGAAAAAGCAAAAUAACAAAAAUUUGCUAAGUUAUAUUCUGUAUUUAAAAAUUUAAAAAAGUACAAAUAAAUUAAAAAAAUAGUACUAGCUGCAAAAAAUGAGUUUUUUUAAAACAUUAUUAACGCUGUCAGUAAAAUUACACUAAACUCUAAAGUCUAACUAUUAAACCUUAAACCCUUGGGUAAAUCCUAAACUCUAAAUCGUAAAAACUAAACAAUAAAUCAUAAGCACUAAAUCCUAAACGCUGUCAGCAAAACUCUAAAUCUUAGCCCUAAACCCUAGGGUUUAGGGUUUACCCAAGGGUUUAGAGUUUACCCAAAGAUUUAGGGUUUACCCAAGCAUUUAGGGUUUACCCAAGGGUUUAGGAUUUACCCAAAAAUUUAAGGUUUAGUUUUUAGGGUUUAAUGUUUAAGAUUUAGGGUUUAUUGUUUUGAUGACGGUGUUAACAAUGUUUAAAAAAAUUUGUACUAUUUAUUUAUUUAUUUUUACUUUAAAAAAAAACAUAACAUAAUUUGGCAAAUUCUUAUUAUUUUGUUUUCUUUUUUCAACUACUGAAUAUGAGCUCACAGACUUUUAUUGGUCGGUGAAUAAAUAAUUUUUUUAAGAAAUAUCAAAGUACGGAUCAAUAAUUUUUCUAUAUUUAAAUUAUUGGUCACUAAUAAUAGUAUUAUUAUAUCACUUCCAAUCAAUAUUAAUAUUAUUUUAUAAUUUAAUAUUUUUACUAUUUAAUAAUGCAUAGACAAAUUUUAAAUGGUUUCAAAUCUAAAACAGUUAUCAAUCAUCAAUUUUAUAAAAUUUACGUAAAACAAUAAUAAUAAAUGCAGGUGCAUUAUUGAACAAAUUUGUUUGUUCUGAUGUGUUUACUUAUAUGAAAUUUUGAUCCCUAAAAUGUUUCAUACAGAAGUAAAGUUUGCCAAACAUAAUAAAAGAAAAGUAAUUCAAAUUAUCUUCCUAAUUUUACUGUGAUAGUCACGUUACUCUUUUUCAUUUCAUAUAAUAGAAACUUAAUUGAGAUUAAUAUAAAUAAAAUUUUAAAACGAUAAAUAAAAUUUUAAAACUAAAUUUCCUCAUUUAUACAAAAUAUUUACCAUGAAAGUAAAAAUAAUAAGUUGCAAUUGAUUAAGUAAACACAAUUAAUCUAAAAUUAA
Long non-coding RNA from Brassica rapa (field mustard), 1966 nucleotides. RefSeq lists it as uncharacterized. The record is from RefSeq and is a predicted model, not a curated record. NCBI's taxonomy places the organism in Eukaryota, Viridiplantae, Streptophyta, Magnoliopsida, Brassicales, Brassicaceae.